Molecule: long non-coding RNA, 282 nt
Filed under: Varanus komodoensis (Komodo dragon)
Lineage: Eukaryota; Metazoa; Chordata; Lepidosauria; Squamata; Varanidae
Description: lncRNA (ENSVKKG00000018609.1)
Source: RNAcentral
AUACAUUCAUAUGUAUUUUUUCUCCAUUCCUUCAUCUGAACCGUUUGUUUGAAUUAUUUCUUCCAGACAUGGAUGAUGAUUUUAGGGAGUGCCUGAAGGAUUAUGGGAAUUCCAUAGCUCAAUCAGCUGGGAUGCAUCUAAAGAAAAGCAAGGAGGGGAGAGCCCUCAUGGGUUCAGAGCUUGCAGCCAAGAUAAAGAAUUUCUCGGCUCUCAUGAAGCAGCACCAGUUUGGCUUCUCCUCUGCCAUGCAGAUGGCCAUCACCAUACACAACCUGGAAACCC